Molecule: non-coding RNA, 45 nt
Organism: Prunus persica (peach)
Lineage: Eukaryota; Viridiplantae; Streptophyta; Magnoliopsida; Rosales; Rosaceae
Source: Rfam
ACAACGGUUUUAAUGAAAACCAUCAUUGUUUAUAUAAAAUCAAAA